Molecule: long non-coding RNA, 711 nt
Organism: Oncorhynchus mykiss (rainbow trout)
Lineage: Eukaryota; Metazoa; Chordata; Actinopteri; Salmoniformes; Salmonidae
Source: RefSeq, a predicted model, not a curated record
GGGACGCAUGUAUCGCUGCAGUGUGGGCAGUAUCAGAGGGAAAGAGAUAGGAUGAGAUCUUGUAUGAGGGAGAAGGGGAUACAGGAAAUUAGUUGAAAUAGUAUAUUGAGUAGAAUUAUUAGAUAUAGUCUCAAAUAUUUUGUUAUCUUUUUUAAGAGCAACGGUAUAAUGUUGUUCCUCCCUGUCUCUAGCCCACAAUACAGUAGGUGGCGGUAAUGCACCAUAACUUUGGAUGCCAACCGCCGAUAAACCCCACCGAAGAAGAAGACGAAUCAAAACCCAGAAGUGAAAUGUAAGGGACCUUUGAAGAAGGCCCCAGCCUCUGUCUCCAGCAUUCCCGAACUCUUACACUUGACUGGCUUCUUGGAACAGAACAGCUUUAAAGAGCCAUGGUGGCCUAAAGAGUCCGAACAAGCCCAUAGAAGGACGAUACCUAAUUAGCAGGGUUGAAUGGCCACGGUGACACUGUGAAUACAACUGUUUAACUGAAUAGAUCAUCACCAUUCUGAGUGCUGCCCUCUCCCCAGACAGAGAGACAAUAGCACAUUGUUUAACAAACUAGCACUUAUUAUGCUAUUGUUGUCUGUGUUUCCAGACCAUGUCAUCACUAUUGUCUGUGUUCUAAUCCUGUCAUCACUAUUGUUGUCUGUAUUCCAAAUCCUGUCAUCACUAUUGCUGGUCUUUGGUGAAAAUAAAUCAGUGUAAAAUAUG